UACGGGGGGAGCAAGCGUUGUUCGGAUUUACUGGGCGUAAAGGGUGCGUAGGCGGUCAGCACAAGUCAGUUGUGAAAUCUCCGGGCUUAACUCGGAAAGGUCAACUGAUACUGUGCGACUAGAGUGCGGAAGGGGCAACUGGAAUUCUCGGUGUAGCGGUGAAAUGCGUAGAUAUCGAGAGGAACACCUGCGGCGAAGGCGGGUUGCUGGGCCGACACUGACGCUGAGGCGCGAAAGCCAGGGGAGCGAACGGG
RNAcentral lists this ribosomal RNA (254 nucleotides) under uncultured bacterium. RNAcentral's name for it is "partial 16S ribosomal RNA". It matches the Rfam family "Bacterial small subunit ribosomal RNA", at positions 524 to 776 of the family's 1533-position model. The record is from RNAcentral.